CCCUGGUAGUCCACGCCGUAAACGAUGAGUACUAAGUGUCGGGUAAAACUGGUACUGAAGUUAACACAUUAAGUACUCCGCCUGAGUAGUACGUACGCAAGUAUGAAACUUAAAGGAAUUGACGGGACUCCGCACAAGCGGUGGAUCAUGUUGUUUAAUUCGAAGAUACACGAAAAACCUUACCAGGUCUUGACAUUUUCUUGCGAAGUUAUAGAAAUAUAAUGGAGGUUAUCAGGAAAACAGGUGGUGCAUGGUUGUCGUCAGCUCGUGUCGUGAGAUGUUAGGUUAAGUCCUAAAACGAGCGCAACCCUUGUCGUUAAUUGCCAGCAUGUAAUGAUGGGGACUUUAACGAGACUGCCAAUGAAAAAUUGGAGGAAGGUGGGGAUUACGUCAAAUCAUCAUGCCCCUUAUGAUCUGGGCUACAAACGUGAUACAAUGGUUGAUACAAAGAGUAGCUGAAACGCGAGUUCUUAACCAAUCUCAAAAAAUCAAUCUCAGUUCGGAUUGAAGUCUGCAACUCGACUUCAUGAAGUUGGAAUCGCUAGUAAUCGCGAAUCAGC
This 560-nucleotide ribosomal RNA is filed under the name Candidatus Phytoplasma pruni. RNAcentral describes it as "bacterial SSU rRNA". It matches the Rfam family "Bacterial small subunit ribosomal RNA", at positions 785 to 1353 of the family's 1533-position model. Lineage: Bacteria; Bacillati; Mycoplasmatota; Mollicutes; Acholeplasmatales; Acholeplasmataceae. The record is from RNAcentral.